AUGAGCGGUCACUACCUCGUGUUUGAUCCGACGGUGUCGCAGCACUACGAGGUGCUCUCGGUCCCGGACAUACCAUGGAGCCUUCCGACGGGGCACAUUUCCAAGCAUGCGUGCGAGGAUAAGCCGGUGUCCGAGAUGGAGUGGCCGCCUUCGCCGUACGUCGUGGAUGUCUUCUCCUCAUGGACCGGUGAGUGGAAGGAGAGGUCGUUUGUUCGGGAAGGGAUGGCCGCGGGAACGGUCGCCGGUUGUAGGUCGAAGGAAAGACGCAUAUUGCGUUACGCUGCUUACUGGCGUGGAGCACUCUACGUCUCUUGCGAAGACGAUUUUGUUUUGAGAAUGAACUUGUCAAAUGAUAAAUACCAAGUAAUUCAGUGCCCUCAAGGAAAGAAGCUAGCGUCUUAUGCACCUCGUCUCGGCAAAUCCAAGAAGGGUGUCUAUUGCGCAUUCCGUGUUGCACGUGAUGCAUUCCAGCUAUGGUUCCUUAACGAGACGUAUGGAAAGAUGGACUGGGUGUUGAACAAUGACAUCAACUUUGAGCAUGUUCCUAAAUGCCCUUGUAACUUUGCUGGGGGAUCCUGGAUCUUACAAGCGACAGUGACGAAGAGCUAG
Molecule: ribosomal RNA, 609 nt
Filed under: Triticum aestivum (bread wheat)
Lineage: Eukaryota; Viridiplantae; Streptophyta; Magnoliopsida; Poales; Poaceae
Description: partial small subunit ribosomal RNA
Source: RNAcentral